RNAcentral lists this ribosomal RNA (497 nucleotides) under uncultured bacterium. Its description in RNAcentral is "partial 16S ribosomal RNA". It matches the Rfam family "Bacterial small subunit ribosomal RNA", at positions 28 to 507 of the family's 1533-position model. The record is from RNAcentral.
GAUGAACGCUGGCGGCGUGCCUAAUACAUGCAAGUCGAGCGAACGGACGAGAAGCUUGCUUCUCUGAUGUUAGCGGCGGACGGGUGAGUAACACGUGGAUAACCUACCUAUAAGACUGGGAUAACUUCGGGAAACCGUAGCUAAUACCGGAUAAUAUUUUGAACCGCAUGGUGCAAAAGUGAAAGACGGUCUUGCUGUCACUUAUAGAUGGAUCCGCGCUGCAUUAGCUAGUUGGUAAGGUAACGGCUUACCAAGGCAACGAUGCAUAGCCGACCUGAGAGGGUGAUCGGCCACACUGGAACUGAGACACGGUCCAGACUCCUACGGGAGGCAGCAGUAGGGAAUCUUCCGCAAUGGGCGAAAGCCUGACGGAGCAACGCCGCGUGAGUGAUGAAGGUCUUCGGAUCGUAAAACUCUGUUAUUAGGGAAGAACAUAUGUGUAAGUAACUGUGCACAUCUUGACGGUACCUAAUCAGAAAGCCACGGCUAACUACGUG